GACGAACGCUGGCGGCGUGCUUAACACAUGCAAGUCGAACGGAAAGGCCCUGCUUUUGUGGGGUGCUCGAGUGGCGAACGGGUGAGUAACACGUGAGUAACCUGCCCUUAACUUUGGGAUAACUUCAGGAAACUGGGGCUAAUACCGGAUAGGAGCUCCUGCUGCAUGGUGGGGGUUGGAAAGUUUCGGCGGUUGGGGAUGGACUCGCGGCUUAUCAGCUUGUUGGUGGGGUAGUGGCUUACCAAGGCUUUGACGGGUAGCCGGCCUGAGAGGGUGACCGGCCACAUUGGGACUGAGAUAGGGCCCAGACUCCUACGGGAGGCAGCAGUGGGGAAUAUUGCACAAUGGGCGGAAGCCUGAUGCAGCAACGCCGCGUGCGGGAUGACGGCCUUCGGGUUGUAAACCGCUGUCGCCUGUGACGAAGCGUGAGUGACGGUAAUGGGUAAAGAAGCACCGGCUAACUACGUG
This 468-nucleotide ribosomal RNA is filed under the name uncultured bacterium. RNAcentral's name for it is "partial 16S ribosomal RNA". It matches the Rfam family "Bacterial small subunit ribosomal RNA", at positions 28 to 507 of the family's 1533-position model. The record is from RNAcentral.